This 397-nucleotide ribosomal RNA is filed under the name uncultured bacterium. RNAcentral's name for it is "bacterial SSU rRNA". It matches the Rfam family "Bacterial small subunit ribosomal RNA", at positions 64 to 507 of the family's 1533-position model. The record is from RNAcentral.
GAGCGCCGUAGCAAUACGGAGCGGCAGACGGGAGAGUAACACGUGGGAACGUGCCCUUCAGUUCGGAACAACUCAGGGAAACUUGGGCUAAUACCGAAUACGUCCGUAAGGAGAAAGAUUUAUCGCUGAAGGAUCGGCCCGCGUCUGAUUAGCUAGUUGGUGGGGUAAUGGCCCACCAAGGCGACGAUCAGUAGCUGGUCUGAGAGGAUGAUCAGCCUCACUGGGACUGAGACACGGCCCAGACUCCUACGGGAGGCAGCAGUGGGGAAUAUUGGACAAUGGGCGCAAGCUUGAUCCAGCCAUGCCGCGUGGGUGAUGAAGGCCCUAGGGUUGUAAAGCCCUUUCGGCGGGGAAGAUAAUGACGGUACCCGCAGAAGAAGCCCCGGCUAACUUCGUG